Small nucleolar RNA from Prunus persica (peach), 139 nucleotides. It matches the Rfam family "Small nucleolar RNA Z247". From Rfam's summary of the family: Z247 is a member of the C/D class of snoRNA which contain the C (UGAUGA) and D (CUGA) box motifs. Most of the members of the box C/D family function in directing site-specific 2'-O-methylation of substrate RNAs. NCBI's taxonomy places the organism in Eukaryota, Viridiplantae, Streptophyta, Magnoliopsida, Rosales, Rosaceae. The record is from Rfam.
CCUCUUACUGAUUCUGAUCUUGUUGCUUACAUCUUGGCUGGUCUUCCUGAGGAGUAUGAUUCUUUUGUGACCUCUAUUGAAACUCGAAGUGACCUAGUGUCUUCUGAUGAGCUUCAUGGUUUCCUGCUUGGUCGUAAAG